Molecule: ribosomal RNA, 445 nt
Filed under: uncultured bacterium
Lineage: Bacteria
Description: partial 16S ribosomal RNA
Rfam family: Bacterial small subunit ribosomal RNA
Source: RNAcentral
GUAAGGAAUAUUGGUCAAUGGACGAAAGUCUGAACCAGCCAUGCCGCGUGAAGGAUGAAGGCCCUCUGGGUUGUAAACUUCUUUUAUCUGGGACGAAAAAAGGGUAUUCUUACUCACUUGACGGUACCAGAGGAAUAAGCACCGGCUAACUCCGUGCCAGCAGCCGCGGUAAUACGGAGGGUGCAAGCGUUAUCCGGAUUCACUGGGUUUAAAGGGUGCGUAGGUGGGUAUUUAAGUCAGUGGUGAAAUCUCAGAGCUUAACUCGGAAACUGCCAUUGAUACUAUUUACCUUGAAUGCCCUGGAGGUAAGCGGAAUAUGUCAUGUAGCGGUGAAAUGCUUAGAUAUGACAUAGAACACCAAUUGCGAAGGCAGCUUACUACGGGGUGAUUGACACUGAGGCACGAAAGCGUGGGGAGCAAACAGGAUUAGAUACCCGGGUAGUCC